Molecule: ribosomal RNA, 468 nt
Filed under: uncultured bacterium
Lineage: Bacteria
Description: partial 16S ribosomal RNA
Rfam family: Bacterial small subunit ribosomal RNA
Source: RNAcentral
GACGAACGCUGGCGGCGUGCUUAACACAUGCAAGUCGAACGGAAAGGCCCUGCUUUUGUGGGGUGCUCGAGUGGCGAACGGGUGAGUAACACGUGAGUAACCUGCCCUUGACUUUGGGAUAACUUCAGGAAACUGGGGCUAAUACCGGGUAGGAGCUCCUGCUGCAUGGUGGGGGUUGGAAAGUUUCGGCGGUUGGGGAUGGACUCGCGGCUUAUCAGCUUGUUGGGGGGGUAGUUGCUUACCAAGCCUUUGACGGGUAGCCGGCCUGAGAGGGUGACCGGCCACAUUGGGCCUGAGAUAGGGCCCAGACUCCUACGGGAGGCAGCAGUGGGGAAUAUUGCACAAUGGGCGGAAGCCUGAUGCAGCAACGCCGCGUGCGGGAUGACGGCCUUCGGGUUGUAAACCGCUUUCGCCUGUGACGAAGCGUGAGUGACGGUAAUGGGUAAAGAAGCACCGGCUAACUACGUG